CAAUCUUCUUGGCCUUUGGCUAAGAUCAAGCAUAGUGUCUGUUCUUAUCAGUUUAAUAUCUGAUAAGUCCUUUAUUUAAGGACUGUAUGUUAAAUUGAUUUUUGAAACAAGGGGAUGGAAUAGGAGCUUGCUCUGUCCACCCCAUGCAUUGACCUGGUAUUUCACUAUUUCCAGGAUCAAAAAAAAAAAA
Mauremys mutica (yellowpond turtle) is the source of this 190-nucleotide small nuclear RNA. RefSeq annotates it as U2 spliceosomal RNA. The record is from RefSeq and is a predicted model, not a curated record. The transcript has a single exon. NCBI's taxonomy places the organism in Eukaryota, Metazoa, Chordata, Testudines, Geoemydidae.